This 404-nucleotide ribosomal RNA is filed under the name uncultured bacterium. Its description in RNAcentral is "bacterial SSU rRNA". It matches the Rfam family "Bacterial small subunit ribosomal RNA", at positions 355 to 775 of the family's 1533-position model. The record is from RNAcentral.
UGGGGAAUAUUGCACAAUGGGGGAAACCCUGAUGCAGCAACGCCGCGUGAAGGAUGAAGGUUUUCGGAUUGUAAACUUCUUUGAUUGGGGACGAAUAAUGACGGUACCCAAAAAACAAGCCACGGCUAACUACGUGCCAGCAGCCGCGGUAAUACGUAGGUGGCAAGCGUUGUCCGGAGUUACUGGGUGUAAAGGGCGUGUAGGCGGGAAGAUAAGUCAGAUGUGAAAUUCCAUGGCUCAACUGUGGCGCUGCAUCUGAAACUAUUUUUCUUGAGUGAUGGAGAGGAAAGCGGAAUUCCUAGUGUAGCGGUGAAAUGCGUAGAUAUUAGGAGGAACACCAGUGGCGAAGGCGGCUUUCUGGACAUUAACUGACGCUGAGGCGCGAAAGCGUGGGGAGCAAACAG